This 255-nucleotide unclassified non-coding RNA is filed under the name Hevea brasiliensis (rubber tree). The record is from RNAcentral. Lineage: Eukaryota; Viridiplantae; Streptophyta; Magnoliopsida; Malpighiales; Euphorbiaceae.
GUUGAUUCAGUUUUUGUUCAGGGCCAGGUAUGGUUGCCCAAGGGAGUACAAGCGCUGACGUAUCUUGGUUUGUGGAAAUUUUUGAAGCGCCCUUCUCUUCUAUAACCGACACUAUUUAAUAUUUAUUACUUUAUCAAGUCUUCGUCUUCUCAUCGCCUGUGAUUGUCUAUGGAUUCUUCAUAACAGAAUUAGCCAACUUGUUUUUCUUGAAGCUGUUGACUUUUGUCAUUGAAACAUAGGAAAUAUCGUUUUUCG